RNAcentral lists this unclassified non-coding RNA (620 nucleotides) under Hevea brasiliensis (rubber tree). Lineage: Eukaryota; Viridiplantae; Streptophyta; Magnoliopsida; Malpighiales; Euphorbiaceae. The record is from RNAcentral.
UUUUUUUUUUAUUAUUUUUUUUAAAUAAGUUUAAAAACUAUCUAUUCUAUUAGGAGUAGCGUGGUUCUGUUUCAGCAGUACUUGUAGUUUUGCAGUGUCAGUUUGGGUGUUGUAAAGGGAGCUCAGUUCCUAGAGUAUGCAAUUGGUUCUUGGGCUGACAGAGAAAAAAGAAGAGGCACCAAAUAAUGAGGUGGAUGCUGGAUAGAGGAUUAUUUCCCUUCAUCAAUAUAGCAAAAUUAUGGCAUAUGUAUGAGAAAGGGGAAAAUUGUUUUCCUCACCUCAUAACGGAGGUCUCAAAACGCCUUAUAUUUUUAUACAAAUACAAUAAAUAAUUUCUUGAGGAAAAACAAACAAAUAUAACAAAAAAUAAACAUGAUUAUAAUUUCUUUACCACACCUCCUGCAUCUACUUAGCCUUCUAGAGGAUUAGGCAUGGAGCUAACAGUGUAACUUAUUUUGUUCAUUUGGUGUUCUUCUAUCUUAUAGUUCUACUUGACCUUCGUUCUUUUAGUCUAUAUUGGUUUGUUUCCCUACUUUUUAGAAGAACUUAAUGUUUUAGAUAUUGUUUUCUUAUAAUUUUACAAUUUUUAUGCAAACAGGUGUUAAAGAUGCCAGUGACAA